Molecule: long non-coding RNA, 514 nt
Filed under: Olea europaea (common olive)
Lineage: Eukaryota; Viridiplantae; Streptophyta; Magnoliopsida; Lamiales; Oleaceae
Description: long non-coding RNA (OEUR_LNC003227)
Source: RNAcentral
CGCAUGGAAAAUUACAAUAUCAUGGAUGCAACUCAGAUAUGAGAAGAUUUUUGUUUCCUUCAAUGGCUAUAUAUGCAUUCAGUCACGUCUCUGCAAACAAGGAAGGAAAUUCCUUUACAGGUUUCAAAAUUUCCAGAUGAUUUAUUUUAUUUCCUUUUUUGUAACGAUUCCUUGCUUAAUUUUCCUCAAUUUAUCUUCCAAUUAUAUAAGCCCUGAUUGCGAUUUAUGUUUUAACAGCAGUUAAUACUUGGUCCUGGGGACAAUAUACAGAAACUCAAUCACUCGGGUACUUUUUCUAUAUGGUUUGGUUUCAUGCUAUCAUAAUUUUAUAUUUGUGUUAAUUUUCGGAUUUUCAUGUUUAUAUCCUAUUUUGGAGGCAAAAUAAUAUAGUUCUAACUAUAUUAACACCUUGAAAAGUUUGAAUAAUUGUUUGCCUUAUUGCUGGAAGCAUGCUGCUCUUGUAGACACUAAAUCCAUAUUUUUUCUGUUAUAUAUGUGAACUUUCGCGCAGGAG